UAACCCUUUCUCCCAAUUUUUUCACUGAGUUGUUUGUAAUUUUUUGGGGGUGGGGGUUAUUUAUUCCUGUUUAUAAUUAUUUAUAGAUAUUAUGGACAAAAUAUUUUUGACCAAAAUACACUAAAAAUAUGAGUUUUUGGGAAGUUUCAUACUAUUAAUUAUUAGUUGUUAGUACUUUUUUCUAGCUGAUAUAUCAUAAUUCAUGGUGUAAGUAUUAAAAUACAUCUAGUUGAAUAGAUGGCGAUAGUUCAGGUAGGAAAAGGGAACGAUUGAUAUUUGGCCUUUUGAUGUGUUUAGUUGAUACAUGGAUGGUGAAUGAGUAAGAGUUGGGAAUGUGAAACUCGCGAAAAAGUGAUGAAAUGUUUUUACUUGAAAUUCUCAUGUCCAUGUUGAUUAAAUUACCAGGAGCGUCUAGUGGUAUUGGUGCAGAAACAACGCGUGUUCUUGCAAUGCGAGGUGCGCAUGUAGUAAUGGCAGUUCGUAAUGUUAAAAGUGGCGAAGAAGUUAAGGAUAGUAUUCUUAAAGAGAUUCCUCAUGCCAAAA
This is a long non-coding RNA of Solanum pennellii, 543 nucleotides long. RefSeq lists it as uncharacterized. The record is from RefSeq and is a predicted model, not a curated record. The transcript has 2 exons. Lineage: Eukaryota; Viridiplantae; Streptophyta; Magnoliopsida; Solanales; Solanaceae.